This 253-nucleotide ribosomal RNA is filed under the name uncultured bacterium. RNAcentral's name for it is "partial 16S ribosomal RNA". It matches the Rfam family "Bacterial small subunit ribosomal RNA", at positions 524 to 776 of the family's 1533-position model. The record is from RNAcentral.
UACGGGGGGGGUAAGCGUUGUUCGGAAUUACUGGGCGUAAAGGGCUCGUAGGCGGCCAACUAAGUCAUACGUGAAAUCCCUCAGCUUAACUGGGGAACUGCGUGUGAUACUGGAUGGCUUGGAUUUGGGAGAGGGAUGCGGAAUUCCAGGUGUAGCGGUGAAAUGCGUAGAUAUCUGGAGGAACACCGGUGGCGAAGGCGGCAUCCUGGACCAAUACUGACACUCAGGUGCGACAGCGUGGGGAGCAAACAGG